UAAAACAAAUUCUGAUGAAAUUACAAACUUUUUUUCCUUGUGAAAAAAUUAAUAAUAAAGACAGAGUUACAAAUUGUCAUGGUUUUGUAAUUAAAAGUCAGUACAGAGUAGAAGAGAAAAUAAGAUGUUUGGCUUGUAAAAAAAGUUGGAAGAUGUUAUUAAGAAAAAGACAUAAUUUCACACUAAU
Molecule: long non-coding RNA, 187 nt
Organism: Formica exsecta
Lineage: Eukaryota; Metazoa; Arthropoda; Insecta; Hymenoptera; Formicidae
Exons: 2
Source: RefSeq, a predicted model, not a curated record